UGAGCAUCGUGGCAGAGAAAAUAACCCCUUUGGGGCAAUCCAGCUCUCAAACGCUGGUCAGAACUCAAAGGAUGAUGCUGAGGGCACUUAUACUGCACUGAACACAUCAGCUGUUUCCUCAGACUAUGAAGAAAUAUGCAAGAAGUAACCAGGAUGGAAAUCUUUGCUCUAAUUGAUAAUGCUGGCGGCUGAUAAAAUUUACUGCCUUCAUUUUGUGAACAGUAAUGCUGCUCUUUAGUCCUUCACUGUUUGCUUAGCUUUAAGAGGCUUUAUUGAACUGGAGCUUCAUUUAUGGCAAAAGAAUGCAAUUCUGUUUUAAAGCACAGAUAUAAAAAUGUGCAUCACCAGUCAAAAUGUAUUUCACACAGUAUUUUUUAUUAUUUUUUAUUUCACAAUAUUGUAAAACCAAAAAGAAAGCUUAUGUUUUUGAAUAAUAUAUUGAUGAAUGUAUUUGAAUAUAUUUAGCUAUCAUGACCUGCUACAUAUAUUGUAUCAUCAGUAAGGUGUUCAAUACGGUAGAUAAGUCAUCUACAAUACACUGCACUUUUUUAACACAUAUUUUACAAUAUAUUCCAAUGUAUUUUUUAUUUCUUGAGGGAUGAUGUCUUUCUCAGUUUUAAUUUCAAAUAAAUAAUGAAACUUC
Molecule: long non-coding RNA, 643 nt
Organism: Acipenser ruthenus (sterlet)
Lineage: Eukaryota; Metazoa; Chordata; Actinopteri; Acipenseriformes; Acipenseridae
Exons: 2
Source: RefSeq, a predicted model, not a curated record